This 492-nucleotide ribosomal RNA is filed under the name uncultured bacterium. RNAcentral's name for it is "partial 16S ribosomal RNA". It matches the Rfam family "Bacterial small subunit ribosomal RNA", at positions 29 to 507 of the family's 1533-position model. The record is from RNAcentral.
AGUGAACGCUGGCGGUAGGCCUAACACAUGCAAGUCGAACGGCAGCACAGUAAGAGCUUGCUCUUACGGGUGGCGAGUGGCGGACGGGUGAGGAAUACAUCGGAAUCUACUUUUUCGUGGGGGAUAACGUAGGGAAACUUACGCUAAUACCGCAUACGACCUACGGGUGAAAGCAGGGGAUCUUCGGACCUUGCGCGAUUGAAUGAGCCGAUGUCGGAUUAGCUAGUUGGCGGGGUAAAGGCCCACCAAGGCGACGAUCCGUAGCUGGUCUGAGAGGAUGAUCAGCCACAUGGGAACUGAGACACGGUCCAGACUCCUACGGGAGGCAGCAGUGGGGAAUAUUGGACAAUGGGCGCAAGCCUGAUCCAGCCAUACCGCGUGGGUGAAGAAGGCCUUCGGGUUGUAAAGCCCUUUUGUUGGGAAAGAAAAGCAGCAGGUUAAUACCCCGCUGUUCUGACGGUACCCAAAGAAUAAGCACCGGCUAACUUCGUG